Molecule: unclassified non-coding RNA, 325 nt
Filed under: fungal sp.
Lineage: Eukaryota; Fungi
Description: partial internal transcribed spacer region
Rfam family: Eukaryotic small subunit ribosomal RNA (bases 1-46)
Source: RNAcentral
AAGUCGUAACAAGGUUUCCGUAGGUGAACCUGCGGAAGGAUCAUUAACACGUAUCCAACGUUAAAACCCCCCCGUGAACCUUCAGUGUGAACAGUUUUGAUUCAGGGACUUCUGCGAAGAGUGUGCUUGUAGCGCGAGGCAAGUGGCCUGGCAUCCUUGUCUGAAAGUGUCAAGGGUGGCGCAGUCACGAUCGCUAGAGGCCGACACGGCCGGCGACCGGGUCACCGGGCUCACGCCCCUUAAUAACCUUUGCAUGAAAACGGGCCUGCGCUUAAUUGUGCGGCCAUAAACCGAACAACUGUUAACAAUGGAUAUCUUGGUUCUC